RNAcentral lists this ribosomal RNA (235 nucleotides) under uncultured bacterium. RNAcentral's name for it is "partial 16S ribosomal RNA". It matches the Rfam family "Bacterial small subunit ribosomal RNA", at positions 14 to 240 of the family's 1533-position model. The record is from RNAcentral.
GAUUCCUGGCUCAGGAUGAACGCUAGCUACAGGUUUAACACAUGCAAGUCGAGGGGCAGCAUGGUCUUAGCUUGCUAAGGCCGAUGGCGACCGGCGCACGGGUGAGUAACGCGUAUCCAACCUGCCUUACACUCUUGGACAGCCUUCUGAAAGGGAGAUUAAUACAAGAUGUUAUCAUGAGUAAGCAUUUUCGCAUGAUUAAAGGUUUACCGGUGUAAGAUGGGGAUGCGUUCCA